CUCUCUCACACACGUACAGGUGGACAUAUGAGGGAAGCGGGAGGAGCUUGGCAAUGUAGCAGGGGUGGUGAAAAGAGCCUUUUUUUCUAAUUGGUAGAAGAGAUUCUUUUUAUAAUUUCUAAAGCAGAAGAAUUAGAAAUGCUUGAGCUAGAUUAAUUUUUUUUAGGGUUUAAAUUUUGAAUCCUCAGUGAACCAGGAGAGAAAAGAAAAGAAUGAUGCAAUUGUCAAGAGUUUCAUUAAUGAUCCUAUGGCUUCAGUUAAACUGCGCACCAAGCCAACAGAAGGGAGUGGAGCAGCCUGGAUCCCUGAGUAUUCCAGAGGGAGCCAUAGCCUCUCUCAACUGUACAUAUGAGGACCGUAAUUCUCAGUACUUCAUGUGGUACAGACAGUAUUAUGGGAAAGGCCCUGAGUUUCUGAUAUCCGUAUACUCCAAGGACGAAAACAAGCAAGGAAGAUUUACAACACAGCUUAAUAAAGGCAGCCAGUAUGUCUUCUUGCUCAUUGCAGACUCCCAGCCCAGUGAUUCAGCCACCUACCUCUGUGCAGUAAGCACACAGUGCUCCCCAGCCACCUGCAGCCCAUACCCAAACCUGCAGCUGUGGCUCCAGGAAUGUCUGACAUAAAGCUUAGACUGUGAG
Non-coding RNA from Loxodonta africana (African savanna elephant), 638 nucleotides. The record is from the annotation of a RefSeq genome assembly. NCBI's taxonomy places the organism in Eukaryota, Metazoa, Chordata, Mammalia, Proboscidea, Elephantidae.